CGGCCCCUGCCGUGCGCGUGAUCGGCGGGCGAGUUUGAGCCAACACGCGGAGAACGGGGUCCCGCCCUGGCGGCGGUGAGCGUCCCGAAGCACCGGGAUGCCUGAUGCCGCCACAUGGGAGCCCACCUGGUGAAAGCCAGGUUCAACUCCAACGCCGACACGACACAGGCAGGGGCGCU
This 179-nucleotide non-coding RNA is filed under the name Deltaproteobacteria bacterium. RNAcentral's name for it is "6S RNA". It matches the Rfam family "6S / SsrS RNA". Rfam says of the family: E. coli 6S RNA was the first non coding RNA to be sequenced, but its function was unknown until recently. It consists of 184 nucleotides that fold into an extended hairpin structure with a large single-stranded internal bulge. Lineage: Bacteria; Pseudomonadati; Myxococcota; Myxococcia. The record is from RNAcentral.